Molecule: ribosomal RNA, 460 nt
Filed under: uncultured bacterium
Lineage: Bacteria
Description: partial 16S ribosomal RNA
Rfam family: Bacterial small subunit ribosomal RNA
Source: RNAcentral
CCUACGGGUGGCAGCAGUGAGGAAUAUUGGUCAAUGGGCGCGAGCCUGAACCAGCCAAGUAGCGUGAAGGAUGACUGCCCUACGGGUUGUAAACUUCUUUUAUAAAGGAAUAAAGUGAGGCACGUGUGCCUUUUUGUAUGUACUUUAUGAAUAAGGAUCGGCUAACUCCGUGCCAGCAGCCGCGGUAAUACGGAGGAUCCGAGCGUUAUCCGGAUUUAUUGGGUUUAAAGGGAGCGUAGAUGGGUUGUUAAGUCAGUUGUGAAAGUUUGCGGCUCAACCGUGAAAUUGCAUUUGAUACUGGCGGCCUAGAGAGCAGUUGCGGUAGGCGGAAUGCAUGGUGUAGCGGUGAAAUGCUUAGAGAUCACGAAGAACUCCGAUUGCGAAGGCAGCCUACUAAACUGCCUCUGACAUUGAGGCUCGAAAGUGUGGGUAGCAAACAGGAUUAGAUACCCCAGUAGUC